AUUGAACGCUGGCGGCAGGCCUAACACAUGCAAGUCGAACGGUAACAGGAAGAAGCUUGCUUCUUUGCUGACGAGUGGCGGACGGGUGAGUAAUGUCUGGGAAACUGCCUGAUGGAGGGGGAUAACUACUGGAAACGGUAGCUAAUACCGCAUAACGUCGCAAGACCAAAGAGGGGGACCUUCGGGCCUCUUGCCAUCGGAUGUGCCCAGAUGGGAUUAGCUAGUAGGUGGGGUAACGGCUCACCUAGGCGACGAUCCCUAGCUGGUCUGAGAGGAUGACCCAGCCAACUUGAAACGGGGAACGGUCCAGACUCCCAAGGGAAGGAGGCGUGGGGAAAAAUGGCAAAUGGGGGGCAGCCUGAUGCAGCCAUGCCGCGUGUAUGAAGAAGGCCUUCGGGUUGUAAAGUACUUUCAGCGGGGAGGAAGGGAGUAAAGUUAAUACCUUUGCUCAUUGACGUUACCCGCAGAAGAAGCACCGGCUAACUCCGUG
Molecule: ribosomal RNA, 490 nt
Filed under: uncultured bacterium
Lineage: Bacteria
Description: partial 16S ribosomal RNA
Rfam family: Bacterial small subunit ribosomal RNA
Source: RNAcentral